ACAUGAGAUCUGCAAGCAGUCCGUCUCUCACCUGAUUAUGUGGAGUCACACUCUCAAAUAGACAGAUCUGUUUAUAUGCGGCCACAAGCUUUUUGUGCAAGAAAAUACCCAAGAAGUGAUGGAGACAGAUCCCAGGAUGUCGGAUGGAAAGUGUCACCUCCUUCACAGUAAAUAUCAGUACCAGACCACAAUGGAAUCAACACAGCUGUGUAGCGUGCAACUAAUAAAGUGCCGCUGCUUUUUAUGGCGUGGAUGGUGACGUCAGCACUGUCCAAAGAGGGGAAAGAGAAAGAAGA
Rhineura floridana is the source of this 296-nucleotide long non-coding RNA. RefSeq lists it as uncharacterized. The record is from RefSeq and is a predicted model, not a curated record. The transcript has 3 exons. NCBI's taxonomy places the organism in Eukaryota, Metazoa, Chordata, Lepidosauria, Squamata, Rhineuridae.